AUUGAACGCUGGCGGCAUGCCUUACACGUGCAAGUCGAACGGUAGCGGGCCUUCGGGUGCCGACGAGUGGCGAACGGGUGAGUAAUGUAUCGGAACGUACCAUUGAGUGGGGGAUAACGUAGCGAAAGUUACGCUAAUACCGCAUAUUCUCUCCGGAGGAAAGCAGGGGACCGCAAGGCCUUGCGCUCUUUGAGCGGCCGAUAUCAGAUUAGCUAGUUGGUGAGGUAAAGGCUCACCAAGGCGACGAUCUGUAGCGGGUCUGAGAGGAUGAUCCGCCACACUGGAACUGAGACACGGUCCAGACUCCUACGGGAGGCAGCAGUGGGGAAUUUUGGACAAUGGGGGCAACCCUGACCCAGCAACGCCGCGUGAGUGAAGAAGGCCUUCGGGUUGUAAAGCUCUUUCGGCCGGGAAGAAAUCGUGGUCUCUAACAUAGGCCAUGGAUGACGGUACCGGACUAAGAAGCACCGGCUAACUACGUG
RNAcentral lists this ribosomal RNA (482 nucleotides) under uncultured bacterium. RNAcentral describes it as "bacterial SSU rRNA". It matches the Rfam family "Bacterial small subunit ribosomal RNA", at positions 30 to 507 of the family's 1533-position model. The record is from RNAcentral.